GAUUAACGCUGGCGGCAUGCCUAAGACAUGCAAGUCGAACGGGAAGCCCCAAUGAAAAUGGAAUGAAGUUGAAGAGCUUGCUCUGAUAUGGAAUGAAGUUGGAUUUGGAUUCUGCUUCCAGUGGCGAACGGGUGAGUAACACGUGGGUUAUCUGCCUUCAAGCUGGGGGAUAACGGUUAGAAAUGAUCGCUAAUACCGAAUGUGCUAGUAAUAGUAAAGGCGCUCUUAAGCGUCACUUGAAGAUGAGCCUGCGGCGUAUUAGCUAGUUGGUGGGGUAAUGGCCUACCAAGGCGACGAUGCGUAACCGGACUGAGAGGUUGAACGGUCACACUGGGACUGAGACACGGCCCAGACUCCUACGGGAGACAGCAGUUAGGAAUAUUCGGCAAUGGGCGAAAGCCUGACCGAGCAAUGCCGCGUGUGAGAUGAAGGUCCUCUGGAUUGUAAAUCACUUUUAUCCGGAACGAAACGUGUCGGGUG
RNAcentral lists this ribosomal RNA (480 nucleotides) under uncultured bacterium. RNAcentral's name for it is "bacterial SSU rRNA". It matches the Rfam family "Bacterial small subunit ribosomal RNA", at positions 28 to 461 of the family's 1533-position model. The record is from RNAcentral.